AAAACAUUUUACAGUUAUAAUAUAUAGGCUAUCAUUGUCCAUCAUUUUUUUUUUUUUUAAAUUACAAUUACAGAGAAAUUCUUAUGGUCAUAUUUAUUUUGAUUUUACAUAACUUUGUCAUUUUAAACUAUGGUUUCCCUUGUAAACUUUUCUAAGAGUAAUAUUACCUGAGUAUUCAUCAUAUUUGAUUUGAUUUCUGGGAGCAGAUUACACAUACAACUCUACAUGCAACACAAUUAUCAUGGAAUAAUGUCAAGCCUUACAAUACACCACUGCGCAGGUGACAAAAGUUUUUAUUUUUUUAUGAAGUUAAGAUAUGAAUUAUUUUCAGUACAGGUUGCGUCAUAUUUCUUUCUCUGUGCGUGCUCUGCUGUGUUUACUUGUACGCCAACUAACGACCCAACAACUGCAAAAAACAAACAGCAGUACGAUGGCCGACUCCCGCGCGCGGCAGGAAUACCUGACAUUCGUUUGUUCCGUCGCCGUCGCUCCGAGCAACAGAGGCCAAUUACUGCAGCAGCCGCAUGACCUUUAGCAUGCAGAUGAGCCGCGCAGCGCACGCGCUUAUGUGUGUGUGGCCGGUAAAUAUUAACGGGAACGGAAGAGUGGAGCCAUAAUGACGCACAGAUCGUUAGAGACUCGUUAGGGAGCACGAGACGGAGGAUAUUAAAGAGCAGUUAAGAGCAAAACGCACAUACACACCUUUCUACAGGACUGGCACACACACACUUCACCAGUCUAACGUACUCCUAUAAUGCCUGCAUAUAGGCUACCUUUGUCUAACUCACACAUAAACACGUGAGAGUAAUGCAAAGAUCUAUCUAACAGACACACAUAUCUGACAUGCAACAACAUAAUUCAUGUGUCUAACACACACACACACCUGCCUUCUAUGGAUAAAAACACUAAAACUGUCUGACACACAAACACAUUCAUCCUACUAGCACAUAUAGACACUUUACCUGUCUAACACGCACCUCACAAUUUACUUAUCUGACAUAAACAAACUUCCCUGUCUAUCACACACGCUUUAUCUGUCUAAGGCGCACAUAUACCCACAAUUCACCUGUCCAACAUGCAUGCAAACACACACACACUGAGCGUCGCAAGUUCUGAGCGCUGCGCUGCCGGGGUCUUUCAGCACGCUGGCAUUAGUAUUCACAGACAGCGCUUCCCUUCAGUGCCUGAAUUAAUUUUCCACCAUGCGUAUGUGUGUGCGUGUAUCACAUCACAGAAAGUGCGAGACCGCGGCAGAGAGAGAGCGAUAGACAGUGUGUGGUGAUCUCCCCGAAUCUCAAGCCUCUUUUCCUGUUAUUUUAUUGCGAUUUAAAUACUUCACUUGUCUAAUGCAUGUAAUCUGACUAAUCAGUGCAGGAAAUUGCCCACAGUCUGUUUCUAAAGAGGAAACCGUUCUGUUUCGAACCUGCCACAGAGAGAGACAGGCUUCCGACGGAAAGCAGCGUGCACGAAGAACGAAGAUUGAGCGUGUGUGCGCGAUGACAGCAUGUCACCCAACCUACCCAUCUGGUUAAUUCUGCCAAGCAAAAGAUGAAACCGCACCAAAAAUACUGCAGAGAUUGAUUCAGUGCACGACUUUUGACAUGAACAACAAGAUAAGGUCAGCACAGUGAUGUCAUGAACUGAUUCCAGAUCAGAUGCAACUGGCUGUGGGAAGGACUGACUGCAGGUCAGCGUGGAAAAAUAGGAAGGUUCGGGGGAAUAAACUUAAACUGGUGCAAUCCCACAGACGUCCUGGGUGAGUUUAUUCCCUUAAGCGCAGUGUGGAAAAUUUGCGUGUCAAGCUGUGUUUUCCAGCACAUGAAUCCACACACACACACAGUUUAAUCCUGCGCAGUGGGGAUUGCCGUCUGGAGAUUGUACCGCGUCCAAGACUGAGUCGCCGCUUGCUGACCUUCUCACACACACUUCUAUACAUCCGUUCUAAGGCGGUGUGUGUGCAGCGUACAGCUUUGAUCCCCAGCUGAAGGGUACUUACAGGCCAAAUUUCCAAAUGCGUAAGAGUCAGCCCUCCCACUGGAGAGAGAGCGAGAGAGACAGAAUGAAUUCUUACACGGCUCUGGGAAUUGGGUCUCGGCGGCAGGAGCUAUUAAUAUAUCGCUGCGGCCCCCGAGAGAGAGACGGCGAGGUAGACAGAAAGACAAUCAGAUAAAGCCAGCGAUAGAAAGAGAGAGAAACAGAGAGGAAGAGAAACUGAGAGACAGACAGGUAGUUCAGACAGAGAAAAAGAGUGGUAGAAAGAUAGACAGGCAAAGAGAUACCAAACAGAUAGAGUGAAAGAAUGAUUACAGAAGGAUAGACAGAGACAUAGACACAGAGAGAGAAAGACCUAUACUGUCCACCACAGUGAUCCUUAGUAUGUCUGUGUGUUUCUAUGUAAGUUAAAGAUGUUAUAAUGUGUUACAGUUUAAUACUUCUAAGAUGUUACAAUAUUCCAUUCUAUUACUGUGAUGUUCAUUUAAAUAUUAUUAUUGUUAUAUUAUUAUUUUUAUCUUUUUGUACAUGUAUACUUAGAUGCAAAGAAAGCAAUAGAAAC
This is a long non-coding RNA of Cyprinus carpio carpio, 2554 nucleotides long. Lineage: Eukaryota; Metazoa; Chordata; Actinopteri; Cypriniformes; Cyprinidae. The record is from Ensembl.